UACGGGGGGGGUAAGCGUUAAUCGGAAUUACUGGGCGUAAAGCGUGCGCAGGCGGCUAUGCAAGACAGAUGUGAAAUCCCCGGGCUCAACCUGGGAACUGCGUCUGAUACUGGAUGGCUCGAGUGUGGGAGAGGGAUGCGGAAUUCCAGGUGUAGCGGUGAAAUGCGUAGAUAUCUGGAGGAACACCGGUGGCGAAGGCGGCAUCCUGGACCAUAACUGACACUGAUAAGCGAAAGCCAGGGGAGCAAACGGG
RNAcentral lists this ribosomal RNA (253 nucleotides) under uncultured bacterium. RNAcentral's name for it is "partial 16S ribosomal RNA". It matches the Rfam family "Bacterial small subunit ribosomal RNA", at positions 524 to 776 of the family's 1533-position model. The record is from RNAcentral.